UUUUCCAUUCGUCACUGGAUGGCCCUCUGGCACUAAGGCACCCGAAAACGGGAGAGAUGAUCUACUGCUGAGUGAAGAAUUUAUUCGAAAUUGUGUGGAAAUGUUCUCUGUUCCAGCAAAGGGAUUGAUUGUCGUGUUUUUGAAAAUUUCAGCUGUUUAAGGUAAGCAAUUUAAAUUUUUUAAUUAUUGAGUUUUAAAUUUUAGGCUCUUUUAUAGUAUAUGUGAUAUAUAUAUUUGCUUAGUCUUCGUAUUCUGUGUUUCUUAAUGCUUCUUUUUCUCAUUUUUGGUUUUUGUCCAGUGUGGUUUGCGCUAAUUUCCACCUUUUAAAAUGAAACAAUCAAAUUAUAAAGUUUACUUAUAUUCUACAAGUUGAAUGCAAAAGUCAUAACAUCAAAUGUUAACAUAAAAGAUGACUUCUGGCGAGAGACCAGUCCAAAAGGCCAAGGUAUGCCAUUGUGAUACUCUAAUAUCAAAUAGAUAGUCAUUUAUCUCAAUAUACAACAUGAGUUCCAACUCAUUCUAAAAUGUCUGUUUACAUUUCUUUAAAAAAAUAAAAAAAUAAGUAAAAUGUUAUUAGUGAAAGGAUGUGAUUUAGAGUAGACAUCAUUUUCAUUCUACCAAUAGAGUUAUCAUUUCAUGUCUACGUUUGCAUUCUUUACAGUAUAAAUUUCUUCAUUUCUUCAUGUCUAAAUUCAUUGAAUUUUUUUUCUCUUUUGCCUAGGCUGAGAGAACUUAUUAGGAUGAGAAAAAGAAAGAUUUGUUUGAAAACUUGCGGAAGAAACAAUGAGGCGGUUGAAGUGCAGAAUGAAGGUUUACAUUAAUGCUGCUAGGCUAGAUCACUCUGUGAAAUUUUCAGUUCGAGGCGAUUGGAGCUGAAUAUGGAUAAGUUUUUGAGACUUUUAGACUUUUUGGACCUCUCAAGAUUGAUGUGGUAAGGAGUUUAUAGAGUUACACAUAUAGUAGUCGAAUUGUUCUCUAUGUUGUGUUGAAUCUAAUUUACUGGUAAUACUUUCUGCUUGGUAUUUACUAUGCACGUGCAUAUUCAUGUUAUACUAAAUGUAA
This is a long non-coding RNA of Pyrus x bretschneideri (Chinese white pear), 1062 nucleotides long. RefSeq lists it as uncharacterized. The transcript is spliced from 5 exons. NCBI's taxonomy places the organism in Eukaryota, Viridiplantae, Streptophyta, Magnoliopsida, Rosales, Rosaceae. The record is from RefSeq and is a predicted model, not a curated record.